Molecule: non-coding RNA, 826 nt
Organism: Cyanistes caeruleus (blue tit)
Lineage: Eukaryota; Metazoa; Chordata; Aves; Passeriformes; Paridae
Source: RefSeq, a predicted model, not a curated record
UGCGCCGGGGCUGGGGAGAUGGGGCCAGAACAGGGCCAAAGUGGGGCCGGAGCCAGCGAACUUGCUGCAAGCUGGGCGGGACUGAGGCCCUGUGUCAGCACGGGGGGAACGCAGUGGUGCCAAGCCUGGCUCAGGUGUCUGUGGAAGCAUGGGGCCGGGAGCGGCCUGGCGGGGAUGAAAGAAGAAGAGGGGUCUGGUUUAACAUCUUCAAACUAAGGUGGAGUGGACGUUCUCUUGUUUUGAAGUCAAACUGAGACAGCAGAGACCUUCGAAUUCUGAACAGUCAUGACUAUGCAGCAGUAACAGAAAGUCAGUAGUAACCCGAUCUUGGAGGGUGGCUCUCCUGGUUAUUUCCUCAUCUGCUAGGUGGUUGCUGAUGGCAGUUGAAGUCAGGUUCGCUUGUUUAACUACCCAGCACCCUAGGUGGCCCAAUUCACCUAGAGCUUUGGCUGGAGCUACUCAGGGCAGAAAUACUGAGACUGCAACUCUUUUUCCUUUAGCCCAAUGAAUGAUUUCUUCAUCACAGUGUUCGUCAAAUUCAUUAACACUGUGUUUUAGUUUUCAGGUUGAACUCACAAUUUUGUUUUGCCAAUUUGCAACAUGGGUUUUGUUGGGGGUAAACAAGGAAAGCCUCCCGUACAAGGCCCUCCUACCAGACAGAUGUUGUCCAGUCUGAGGGUCUCUGCCAGCGCAACCCAGACGUUUUUUCUGGGCUGCAGGACAAUCCACGCCUCUGAGGCUGGCAUCAGCAUGGGGAGGAUGAAAGUGAUCCACAGAAACUGUCAUGCUGGGGAUGGUUUCUUCCUAAAAUACAGGUAAACAAGGA